RNAcentral lists this ribosomal RNA (484 nucleotides) under uncultured bacterium. RNAcentral describes it as "partial 16S ribosomal RNA". It matches the Rfam family "Bacterial small subunit ribosomal RNA", at positions 30 to 507 of the family's 1533-position model. The record is from RNAcentral.
AUUGAACGCUGGCGGAAUGCUUUACACAUGCAAGUCGAACGGCAGCACGGGGGCAGCCCUGGUGGCGAGUGGCGAACGGGUGAGUAAUACAUCGGAACGUGCCCGGUCGUGGGGGAUAACGUAGCGAAAGUUACGCUAAUACCGCAUACGAUCUGAGGAUGAAAGCGGGGGACCUUCGGGCCUCGCGCGAUCGGAGCGGCCGAUGUCAGAUUAGGUAGUUGGUGGGGUAAAGGCCUACCAAGCCGACGAUCUGUAGCUGGUCUGAGAGGACGACCAGCCACACUGGGACUGAGACACGGCCCAGACUCCUACGGGAGGCAGCAGUGGGGAAUUUUGGACAAUGGGCGCAAGCCUGAUCCAGCCAUUCCGCGUGCAGGACAAAGGCCUUCGGGUCGUAAACUGCUUUUGUACGGAACGAAAAGGCUCUGGCUAAUACCUGGGGCUCAUGACGGUACCGUAAGAAUAAGCACCGGCUAACUACGUG